AUAGGUCAGGAAAAGGCAGUACUAAAUCGCAGAAGUCUGAUGACAUACUCAUACUCAUAUGUGUGUAUGUACACAUACAUAUGUUCAUGUGUGGAAAAGUCAAUAAGUCCAUACAUACAUACAAGUAUGUACACCACCGCCAUAGGCAACGACUCGGCCAAAAAACUACCCAAGCAAUGGACAGGCAUGCAAAUACAGUCUUCCAUCACUAUACCUAACCAAAAUUGCUAUCAAAGUUGGUCAGAAGAUAAGUUAAUUGUAUUCAUAUGAAAAGACAAUGGUUAAUGCAAAAUUAUAAUAUUAGUCUUCCUCGAUCUGA
Long non-coding RNA from Scaptodrosophila lebanonensis, 319 nucleotides. RefSeq lists it as uncharacterized. The transcript has 2 exons. NCBI's taxonomy places the organism in Eukaryota, Metazoa, Arthropoda, Insecta, Diptera, Drosophilidae. The record is from RefSeq and is a predicted model, not a curated record.